AUUGAACGCUGGCGGCAGGCCUAACACAUGCAAGUCGAGCGGAUGACGGGAGCUUGCUCCUGGAUUCAGCGGCGGACGGGUGAGUAAUGCCUAGGAAUCUGCCUGGUAGUGGGGGAUAACGUCCGGAAACGGGCGCUAAUACUGCAAACGUCCUGCGGGAGAAAGUGGGGGAUCUUCGGACCCCACGCUCUCAGAUGAGCCUAGGUCGGAUUCGAUAGUUGGUGGGGUAAAGGCCUCCCAAGGCUACGAUCCGUAACUGGUAUGAGAGGAUGAUCAGUCACACUGGAUGUGAGACACAGUCCAGACACUGACGGUGAGCAACAGUGGGGAAUAUUAGACGAAGGGCGAGUGGCUGAUACAGCCAUGCCGCGUGUACGAAGAAGGUCUUCGGAUUGGAGAGCGAUGUAAGUUGGGAGGAAGGACAGUAAUAUAAUACCUUGCGAUUUUGACGUUACCAACAGAAUAAGCACCGGCUAACUUCGUG
This 484-nucleotide ribosomal RNA is filed under the name uncultured bacterium. RNAcentral's name for it is "partial 16S ribosomal RNA". It matches the Rfam family "Bacterial small subunit ribosomal RNA", at positions 30 to 507 of the family's 1533-position model. The record is from RNAcentral.